This 465-nucleotide ribosomal RNA is filed under the name uncultured bacterium. Its description in RNAcentral is "partial 16S ribosomal RNA". It matches the Rfam family "Bacterial small subunit ribosomal RNA", at positions 28 to 507 of the family's 1533-position model. The record is from RNAcentral.
GACGAACGCUGGCGGCGUGCUUAACACAUGCAAGUCGAACGGAAAGGCCCUGCUUGCAGGGUACUCGAGUGGCGAACGGGUGAGUAACACGUGGGUGAUCUGCCCUGCACUUCGGGAUACGCCUGGGAAACUGGGUCUAAUACCGGCUAGGAGCCAUUUUUAGUGUGAUGGUUGGAAAGUUUUUUCGGUGUAGGAUGAGCUCGCGGCCUAGCAGCUUGUUGGUGGGGUAAUGGCCUACCAAGGCGGCGACGGGUAGCCGGCCUGAGAGGGUGGACGGCGACAUUGUGACUGAGAUACGGCCCGGACGCCGACGGGAGUCAUCAGUGGGGAAUAUUGCACAAUGGGCGCAAGCCUGAUGCAGCGACGCCGCGUGGGUGAUUACUGCCUUCGUGUUGUAAGCUCCUAUCGCUAGGGACGAAGCUUUUUGUGACGGUACCUAGAUAAGAAGCACCGGCUAACUACGUG